RNAcentral lists this long non-coding RNA (1069 nucleotides) under Marmota monax (woodchuck). Lineage: Eukaryota; Metazoa; Chordata; Mammalia; Rodentia; Sciuridae. The record is from RNAcentral.
UCACCCAGUGUCCCUCCUUCUGCAGUGCACUCUCUGGUGUGCUUCUCCUGCGUCAACCAGAACAGCAAUCUCUACUGUCUGAAGCCCACCGUCUGCUCCUCUUCUGACAACUACUGUGUGACUAUAUCUGCCUCUGCUGGCAUUGGUGAGUGCUGGCCAGGAGCACCUCAGCCUCGCCCACCCGACCCCUUGGCUGUCUCCCAUGGCCAGUGCGACCCCUCACAGUCUGGUUUUCCUGCAGGGAAUGUCGUGGACUUUGGACACACCCUGAACAAGGGCUGCUCCCCCAUCUGCCCUGGUCCUAGCGUCAAUCUCGGCGUGGCGUCUGUGGGCACCCACUGCUGCCAGAGCUUCCUGUGCAAUUUCAGUGCCGCCGGCCGGGGACCGCGGGCCAGCACCGCACUGCUCGGCCUCGGGCUCCUGCUCAGCUUGCUCUCUGUUCUGCUGAGACUGGGCCCCUGACCUUCUGGACCUGAGUCCCCCAUGUCCCCCAGCUCAGGAAGAAAAGCCCCAUCCCUCGCAGAUCCCAGGAGGCUAUUGGAGCCUCCAGCUCCUUGGCGUGCCUGAUCCCCCCACCUUGGGCCAGAACCACCCCCUGCACCUACCCCUGCACAGCCCCUACCCCAUGUGGGGCCAGCCGCCCUCACUUCUGCAACCAAUUGUGUGACCUUUCUCAAGGAACCAGGACGGGAUGAGGGUUCCCCUGAAGUCUUAGGGUCCCCAAGGGCAGGACUGAGCCUUGUGGACACCAGAGGGACAUUUAAGCCAUCAGCCCUAGGCGCACUGAGUGUGGGGUGGUGGCAGACACCAGCGUUUUGUGAAUGUUUAGGUGCGAGUCCCUGGGAUGGUGUUGUGAGAGGGACAGGAGAGUCCCGGGCAGCAGCAGCCCCCGGAACCCUGAUUCACCAGACCCCCCCAUCUGCACCCACAUUGCACUCACUUCAGGGGUAGCCUUUAGGGGCGGGGGGCUCCCAGUGCUUCCAGGCAUGGGCUCCCAGCCCAGGUCCUGCUGAGCCCUGCCUGGCCCUCCUUGCUCCUGCACUGGCACCCCGCUGCUGCCUCAGUGCCU